This is a long non-coding RNA of Juglans microcarpa x Juglans regia, 1038 nucleotides long. RefSeq lists it as uncharacterized. The transcript has 3 exons. The record is from RefSeq and is a predicted model, not a curated record. Lineage: Eukaryota; Viridiplantae; Streptophyta; Magnoliopsida; Fagales; Juglandaceae.
CAAGCACUACUUCUACAAACAUUGGUAAUGAAUCAACACUGCCUCUGCGUAGAUUUGAUGUCAUGUUAGACAAAUUCCUUGAGGAGCAGGGUUUUAUGGAGUUUAGAUCGACUCUAGAGAGGUAUUUGUUUGAGGGGUGUGUUAAAAGCUCACCUGGUUUUGAUAUUUUAGAUUGGUGAAAGAUUAAUGCCACCUAUUAUCAUGUCCUUGCUAAGGUAACACGUGAUGUGUUAGCCACCCAUAUUUCCACUGUUGCAUCAGAGUCCACAUUUUGUAUUGGAGGAAUUAUCUUGGAUCCUUUAAGAUGUUCAUCGUCUUAGUCCUCAUUUGCACUGGCCAAAAUUGGCAAAGGAUCAAAUCAGUCGACAUCUGUGAGUUGGAUGAAUGUGUAUAGUCGAUUGACCUUGAAGACGAUGGUCCAGCUUAUCUUCCAUGUGAGCUAAAAGCACUUUUCUCAAAUGGUUGCCUCAAACAGCAAGUUACCGUGGAUUGCAGUUGGAAAUAUGGGCUGAUGCUGUGAAGGAUUAUGAGAUCUUGAGGAGGGAACUACCUGAUGACAAUGAAGUUGCAGAAUCAUUCUUCCAUGCUCAAGUUGCAUUGAAGAAAUCUCGUGGGGAAGAAGUCCGUUAUAUGAAAUUUAGGGGUGAAGUGGAAGAGGUAUCAAGUCCAUAAUAAGAUUUUUGAAAUGCAGGAGUGUCUGGUGUUGUCCACUUCAAAGCUGCCUCUGAUUUGCAAAGCAGGCAAAUAGAGUAUCCUCGGGUUAGCUAGCUGAUCACCUUGCUCCAUCCAGGAAAAGAAAAAUCUAGAUACUUCAGGAUGUUAGUGGAAUCAUCAAACCAUCAAGAUGGGAUGGCAGAGACUGUUUUCAGGCUUCCUAUCUUCUACAAACAGUUGGAUUUCUUGUUAUAUCCGGCAUUAUUGGCUUUUGGCUUACACAUUUGGGUCAUCAGGAUCCCUCUAUCGUUCAUGGAAUCAGCAAUAUCAGGUACGUACAUAGUUGGUAUGACGUUCUCUUUAAUUGAGUUUGAGAUAUUGUUU